This is a long non-coding RNA of Acanthochromis polyacanthus (spiny chromis), 1196 nucleotides long. RefSeq lists it as uncharacterized. The record is from RefSeq and is a predicted model, not a curated record. Lineage: Eukaryota; Metazoa; Chordata; Actinopteri; Pomacentridae. The transcript is spliced from 2 exons.
GUCAAAACACAGAACACACAGAGCAGGGUGAGCGCAGCAGAGAAAACACAGGUGGAAAGUCUGUCAGCGUGCAGGCCGGGCCGAGCACAAUGGGCGCAUUGUCCGGGCGUCAACACUGAGCCGAUUCACGGCGGAGCGAGAGCCGCUGGGCGUCCACGCAGGAAACACCGGCAGAGCGCCUGGUGGGGAUGACGUGACUGCAGCAGGCUGAGAGCGUCAGCCUGAGCCGCGAGGUCACCGCGUCACAAACAUUCGGACGCUAUAACAGGAGCUGAGGAUCGUCAUCUGCAGCUGCUUAGAACUAUUUCCUCUGACGGCAUCAGGAUCUACAUGAACUGAGCUCAUUUACGCACCCAGAAACACAGACAACUUUGUUGUUUGUUAUAAAUGAUGCCGACACGCAGACAGGACGGAUCUGGAUCUACCAGCAGGUCACAGCGUGAGGAACGUUAACGGACGCAGUGAUGAAGCAGCAUUCAUGAUGUCAUGUCUAAGAAGGGAGCUGAUUGGUGGACGGGCUCCUACCUGAAGUGGAGUCCUUCUGCGAGCACCGUGUCCAUCUGCAUCCCUCCGAUCCUGUUGAAGACGAUCGCUCUCUGACCUCCUUCAACUGCAGACAAGACGAAAAAAAUUAGGUUUUUAAAAGUCGAAUCUGCCAACUGGAUGAGUUAAAACUAAUAAAUAUGAAUUAAUUGUACACUACUGUCCAAACGUCUGGGGUCGCUUAGAAAUGUCCUUAUUUAUAAAAGAAAAAUAGCUUUUUCAAUGAUAACAAUCAGAAAUCCAGUCUAACUGAUGAUCAAAAAACCCUUGUGAAGUUACAUUAGCGCAUGAAAAAAAGUGUGUUUUCAUAGAAAACAUGGAAGAGUCUGGAUGGAAUGGUAGAGUAAAUUACCUCAUUACUAGCCAUAAUAUUUAAUAUGCUAUUUAGGAUCUGUCAGUUAUCAUACUGUUGUUUUUCAGGAUAUUUUGUUACGUUAGUAAAGUUUUUCUCCAUAAUUAAGGACACUGAAGGGCAUCAGCCUAAAUAUGUAUCGUAGUCAAGAAAACCAGUAUUUUAUGUAAUUUAUUUGAAGUUUCAGUCCUUAUUGUGCAAAUGAUUCAGAUAAAAAUCACACCAUUAACAACAUGACAGGGUUUUAAAUCCAACAGCUGUUCUUUUGAAUCUACUGUAUUAAAAACAAACAUUGACUUGA